This 1012-nucleotide ribosomal RNA is filed under the name Pseudoalteromonas marina. Its description in RNAcentral is "bacterial SSU rRNA". It matches the Rfam family "Bacterial small subunit ribosomal RNA", at positions 36 to 1047 of the family's 1533-position model. Lineage: Bacteria; Pseudomonadati; Pseudomonadota; Gammaproteobacteria; Alteromonadales; Pseudoalteromonadaceae. The record is from RNAcentral.
CAGGGGCGGCAGCCUACCAUGCAAGUCGAGCGGUAACAGAAAGUAGCUUGCUACUUUGCUGACGAGCGGCGGACGGGUGAGUAAUGCUUGGGAACAUGCCUUGAGGUGGGGGACAACAGUUGGAAACGACUGCUAAUACCGCAUAAUGUCUACGGACCAAAGGGGGCUUCGGCUCUCGCCUUUAGAUUGGCCCAAGUGGGAUUAGCUAGUUGGUGAGGUAAUGGCUCACCAAGGCAACGAUCCCUAGCUGGUUUGAGAGGAUGAUCAGCCACACUGGAACUGAGACACGGUCCAGACUCCUACGGGAGGCAGCAGUGGGGAAUAUUGCACAAUGGGCGAAAGCCUGAUGCAGCCAUGCCGCGUGUGUGAAGAAGGCCUUCGGGUUGUAAAGCACUUUCAGUCAGGAGGAAAGGGUGUGAGUUAAUACCUCAUAUCUGUGACGUUACUGACAGAAGAAGCACCGGCUAACUCCGUGCCAGCAGCCGCGGUAAUACGGAGGGUGCGAGCGUUAAUCGGAAUUACUGGGCGUAAAGCGUACGCAGGCGGUUUGUUAAGCGAGAUGUGAAAGCCCCGGGCUCAACCUGGGAACUGCAUUUCGAACUGGCAAACUAGAGUGUGAUAGAGGGUGGUAGAAUUUCAGGUGUAGCGGUGAAAUGCGUAGAGAUCUGAAGGAAUACCGAUGGCGAAGGCAGCCACCUGGGUCAACACUGACGCUCAUGUACGAAAGCGUGGGAGCAAACGGGAUUAGAUACCCCGGUAGUCCACGCCGUAAACGAUGUCUACUAGAAGCUCGGAACCUCGGUUCUGUUUUUCAAAGCUAACGCAUUAAGUAGACCGCCUGGGGAGUACGGCCGCAAGGUUAAAACUCAAAUGAAUUGACGGGGGCCCGCACAAGCGGUGGAGCAUGUGGUUUAAUUCGAUGCAACGCGAGAACCUUACCUACACUUGACAUACAGAGAACUUUCUAGAGAUAGAUUGGUGCCUUCGGGAACUCUGAUACAGGUGCUGCAUG